GACGAACGCUGGCGGCGUGCUUAACACAUGCAAGUCGAGCGAAAAGGCCCUGCGGGUUCUCCGCUGGCGGAAGGGGCGGGCAACAGGGGGACAAUUGGCCCACCUCUUUGGAAUAAGCGGGGGAAAUUGGGUCACAUACGCAAAAGCCCGACACUAUACUUGGCGGGUGGGGGAAAGAUUUUGCGGCGUGGGUUGGGCCCCCGGCCUAUCGGUUCGUGGGGGGGGAACUGGCUUACCAAGGCGCCGACGGGUAGCCGGCCUGAGAGGGUGACCGGCCACACUGGGACUGAGAUACGGCGCAGACGCCUACGGGAGGCAGCAGGGGAGAAUAUUGCAGAAUGGGCGCAAGCCUGAUGCAGCGACGCCGCGUGAGGGAUGACGGCCUUCGGGUUGUAAACCUCUUUCAAUAGGGACGAAGCGGAAGUGACGGUACCUAUAGAAGAAGCACCGGCCAACUACGUG
Molecule: ribosomal RNA, 462 nt
Filed under: uncultured bacterium
Lineage: Bacteria
Description: partial 16S ribosomal RNA
Rfam family: Bacterial small subunit ribosomal RNA
Source: RNAcentral